This 253-nucleotide ribosomal RNA is filed under the name uncultured bacterium. RNAcentral's name for it is "partial 16S ribosomal RNA". It matches the Rfam family "Bacterial small subunit ribosomal RNA", at positions 524 to 776 of the family's 1533-position model. The record is from RNAcentral.
UACGUAGGGUGCAAGCGUUAAUCGGAAUUACUGGGCGUAAAGCGUGCGCAGGCGGUUCGCUAAGACCGAUGUGAAAUCCCCGGGCUUAACCUGGGAACUGCAUUGGUGACUGGCGGGCUAGAGUAUGGCAGAGGGGGGUAGAAUUCCACGUGUAGCGGUGAAAUGCGUAGAUAUGUGGAGGAAUACCGAUGGCGAAGGCAGCCUCCUGGGCCAACACUGACGCUCAUGCACGAAAGCGUGGGGAGCAAACAGG